Molecule: ribosomal RNA, 360 nt
Filed under: uncultured Pseudomonas sp.
Lineage: Bacteria; Pseudomonadati; Pseudomonadota; Gammaproteobacteria; Pseudomonadales; Pseudomonadaceae
Description: bacterial SSU rRNA
Rfam family: Bacterial small subunit ribosomal RNA
Source: RNAcentral
GAAGGGAGCUUGCUCCGGGAUUCAGCGGCGGACGGGUGAGUAAUGCCUAGGAAUCUGCCUGGUAGUGGGGGAUAACGUCCGGAAACGGGCGCUAAUACCGCAUACGUCCUGAGGGAGAAAGUGGGGGAUCUUCGGACCUCACGCUAUCAGAUGAGCCUAGGUCGGAUUAGCUAGUUGGUGGGGUAAAGGCCUACCAAGGCGACGAUCCGUAACUGGUCUGAGAGGAUGAUCAGUCACACUGGAACUGAGACACGGUCCAGACUCCUACGGGAGGCAGCAGUGGGGAAUAUUGGACAAUGGGCGAAAGCCUGAUCCAGCCAUGCCGCGUGUGUGAAGAAGGUCUUCGGAUGUAAAGCACUU